This 261-nucleotide ribosomal RNA is filed under the name uncultured archaeon. RNAcentral describes it as "partial 16S ribosomal RNA". It matches the Rfam family "Archaeal small subunit ribosomal RNA", at positions 748 to 1008 of the family's 1478-position model. The record is from RNAcentral.
AGGGUGUAAACGCUGCAGACUUGGUGUUGGGAACCCUUCGGGGGUGCUCAGUGCCGGAGAGAAGUUGUUAAGUCUGCUACUUGGGGAGUACGUCCGCAAGGAUGAAACUUAAAGGAAUUGGCGGGGGAGCACCGCAACGGGAGGAGCGUGCGGUUUAAUUGGAUUCAACGCCGAAAAACUCACCAGCAGCGACUGUUACAUGAAAGUCAGGUUGAUGACCUUACCAGAUUUUCAGAGAGGAGGUGCAUGGCGUCAGUGACU